Molecule: ribosomal RNA, 464 nt
Filed under: uncultured bacterium
Lineage: Bacteria
Description: bacterial SSU rRNA
Rfam family: Bacterial small subunit ribosomal RNA
Source: RNAcentral
CAGUGGGGAAUCUUCCGCAAUGGGCGCAAGCCUGACGGAGCAACGCCGCGUGAGCGAAGAAGGCCUUCGGGUUGUAAAGCUCUGUGUAGGGGGAAGAAACAAAUGACGGUACCCCUUUAGAAAGCCCCGGCUAACUACGUGCCAGCAGCCGCGGUAAAACGUAGGGGGCAAGCGUUGUCCGGAAUUACUGGGCGUAAAGGGCGUGUAGGCGGCAAAGUAAGUCCAUAGUGAAACCCGGCAGCUCAACUGCCGGCUGGCUAAGGAAACUGUUUUGCUCUGAGUGCAGGAGAGGGGAGUGGAAUUCCCAGUGUAGCGGUGAAAUGCGUAGAUAUUGGGAGGAACACCAGUGGCGAAAGCGGCUCCCUGGCCUGUAACUGACGCUGAGGCGCGAAAGCGUGGGUAGCAAACAGGAUUAGAUACCCUGGUAGUCCACGCCGUAAACGAUGGGUGCUAGGUGUUGUGGG